AUUGAACGCUGGCGGCAUGCCUUACACAUGCAAGUCGAACGGCAGCACGGGUGCUUGCACCUGGUGGCGAGUGGCGAACGGGUGAGUAAUACAUUGGAACGUACCUUAUCGUGGGGGAUAACGCAGCGAAAGUUGCGCUAAUACCGCAUACGCCCUGAGGGGGAAAGCGGGGGACCGUAAGGCCUCGCGCGAUUAGAGCGGCCGAUGUCUGAUUAGCUUGUUGGUAGGGUAAAAGCCCACCAAGGCGACGAUCAGUAGCUGGUCUGAGAGGACGAUCAGCCACACUGGGACUGAGACACGGCCCAGACUCCUACGGGAGGCAGCAGUGGGGAAUUUUGGACAAUGGGGGCAACCCUGAUCCAGCAAUGCCGCGUGAGUGAAGAAGGCCUUCGGGUUGUAAAGCUCUUUUGUCAGGGAAGAAACACCGGCUCUAACACAGUCCGGGAAUGACGGUACCUGAAGAAUAAGCACCGGCUAACUACGUGCCAGCCGCCGCUGUAA
Molecule: ribosomal RNA, 501 nt
Filed under: uncultured bacterium
Lineage: Bacteria
Description: partial 16S ribosomal RNA
Rfam family: Bacterial small subunit ribosomal RNA
Source: RNAcentral